GACGAACGCUGGCGGCGUGCUUAACACAUGCAAGUCGAACGGAAAGGCCCUGCUUUUGUGGGGUGCUCGAGUGGCGAACGGGUGAGUAACACGUGAGUAACCUGCCCUUGACUUUGGGAUAACUUCAGGAAACUGGGUCUAAUACCGGAUAGGAGCUCCUGCUGCAUGGUGGGGGUUGGAAAGUUUCGGCGGUUGGGGAUGGACUCGCGGCUUAUCAGCUUGUUGGUGGGGUAGUGGCUUACCAAGGCUUUGACGGGUAGCCGGCCUGAGAGGGUGACCGGCCACAUUGGGACUGAGAUACGGCCCAGACUCCUACGGGAGGCAGCAGUGGGGAAUAUUGCACAAUGGGCGGAGGCCUGAUGCAGCAACGCCGCGUGCGGGAUGACGGCAUUCGAGUUGUAAACCGAUUUCGCCUGUGACGAAGCGUGAGUGACGGUAAUGGGUAAAGAAGCACCGGCUAACUACGUG
Molecule: ribosomal RNA, 468 nt
Filed under: uncultured bacterium
Lineage: Bacteria
Description: partial 16S ribosomal RNA
Rfam family: Bacterial small subunit ribosomal RNA
Source: RNAcentral